This 28-nucleotide small RNA is filed under the name Bombyx mori (domestic silkworm). Its description in RNAcentral is "ovarian small RNA-37942". Lineage: Eukaryota; Metazoa; Arthropoda; Insecta; Lepidoptera; Bombycidae. The record is from RNAcentral.
UUGCUGUUUCGCUUCGAGUUCCGAUUAC